AUACCAUGGUGAUGACACUUUUGUAAUAAUUCUUUAAGCUGCUCCCAAGUCUCAUAUAAGGAUUCAUCAUCAAGUUGUUGGAAUGUAGAAAUAUCAAUUUGAAGCUU
Non-coding RNA from Gossypium arboreum, 107 nucleotides. The record is from Rfam. Lineage: Eukaryota; Viridiplantae; Streptophyta; Magnoliopsida; Malvales; Malvaceae.